CGCGUGGGAAUUUGCCUUUCGGUACGGGAUAACGUUUGGAAACGAACGCUAAUACCGUAUGAUGUCUACGGACUAAAGAUUUAUCGCCGAGAGAUGAGCCCGCGUAGGAUUAGGUAGUUGGUGGGGUAAUGGCCUACCAAGCCGACGAUCUUUAGCUGGUCUGAGAGGACGAUCAGCCACACUGGAACUGAGACACGGUCCAGACUCCUACGGGAGGCAGCAGUGGGGAAUAUUGGACAAUGGGCGCAAGCCUGAUCCAGCCAUGCCGCGUGAGUGAAGAAGGCCUUAGGGUUGUAAAAC
RNAcentral lists this ribosomal RNA (300 nucleotides) under uncultured Alphaproteobacteria bacterium. RNAcentral describes it as "bacterial SSU rRNA". It matches the Rfam family "Bacterial small subunit ribosomal RNA", at positions 114 to 431 of the family's 1533-position model. Lineage: Bacteria; Pseudomonadati; Pseudomonadota; Alphaproteobacteria. The record is from RNAcentral.